Molecule: ribosomal RNA, 422 nt
Filed under: bacterium enrichment culture clone ALO1_GLFRUDD03GQL7K
Lineage: Bacteria
Description: bacterial SSU rRNA
Rfam family: Bacterial small subunit ribosomal RNA
Source: RNAcentral
GAGUUUGAUCCUGGCUCAGAUUGAACGCUGGCGGCAUGCCUUACACAUGCAAGUCGAACGGCAGCACGGGAGCUUGCUCCUGGUGGCGAGUGGCGAACGGGUGAGUAAUGCAUCGGAACGUAUCCUGGAGUGGGGGAUAACGUAGCGAAAGUUACGCUAAUACCGCAUAUUCUGUGAGCAGGAAAGCGGGGGACCUUCGGGCCUCGCGCUCUUGGAGCGGCCGAUGUCGGAUUAGCUAGUUGGUGAGGUAAAGGCUCACCAAGGCGACGAUCCGUAGCAGGUCUGAGAGGAUGAUCUGCCACACUGGAACUGAGACACGGUCCAGACUCCUACGGGAGGCAGCAGUGGGGAAUUUUGGACAAUGGGGGCGAACCCUGAUCCAGCCAUGCCGCGUGAGUGAAGAAGGCCUCGGUUGUAAGUAC